This 433-nucleotide ribosomal RNA is filed under the name uncultured bacterium. RNAcentral's name for it is "partial 16S ribosomal RNA". It matches the Rfam family "Bacterial small subunit ribosomal RNA", at positions 29 to 507 of the family's 1533-position model. The record is from RNAcentral.
AACGAACGCUGGCGGCAGGCCUAACACAUGCAAGUCGAGCGAGGACUUCGGUUCUAGCGGCGGAAGGGUGAGUAACGCGUGGGAAUGUGCCCUUCUCUACGGAAUAGCCCUGGGAAACUGGGAGUAAUACCGUAUACGCCCUAUUGGGGAAAGAUUUAUCGGAGAAGGAUCAGCCCGCGUUGGAUUAGGUAGUUGGUGGGGUAAUGGCCUACCAAGCCGACGAUCCAUAGCUGGUUUGAGAGGAUGAUCUGCCACACUGGGACUGGGACACGGCCCAGACUCCUGCAGGAGGCAGCAGUGGUGAAUCUUAGACAAUGGGGGCAACCCUGAUCUAGCCAUGCCGCGUGAGUGAUGAAGGCCUUAGGGUUGUUAAGCUCUUUCAGCUGGGAAGAUUAUGACGGUACCAGCAGAAGAAGCCCCGGCUAACUCCGUG